CUUUGCAUUCGGGCAAAAC
This 19-nucleotide non-coding RNA is filed under the name Arabidopsis thaliana (thale cress). The record is from RNAcentral. Lineage: Eukaryota; Viridiplantae; Streptophyta; Magnoliopsida; Brassicales; Brassicaceae.